Molecule: small RNA, 127 nt
Filed under: Marmota monax (woodchuck)
Lineage: Eukaryota; Metazoa; Chordata; Mammalia; Rodentia; Sciuridae
Source: RNAcentral
GCUGGGCGUGGUGGUGCACGCCUGUAAUCCCAGCGACUAGGGAGGCUGAGGCAGGAGGAUCACGAGUUCAAAGCCAGCUUCAGCAAUUUAGCGAGGCACUUAGCAACUCGGGAAGACCCUGUCUCUG